Long non-coding RNA from Tympanuchus pallidicinctus (lesser prairie-chicken), 5170 nucleotides. RefSeq lists it as uncharacterized. The record is from RefSeq and is a predicted model, not a curated record. The transcript is spliced from 2 exons. NCBI's taxonomy places the organism in Eukaryota, Metazoa, Chordata, Aves, Galliformes, Phasianidae.
CUUCCUUCCGCGGCAGCCUGGAGGCCGAUUCGCCCAUCCUGAAGGUGGAGCCACAGAGCCGGAGGAGGCGCCGUGGCGCUGUUAGCAUCGCCCUCUGAGGGCGGGGAAGGGAGGCGAAGGCAUCACCUACACUGAUGAUUCCCAACACUUAGAAGCCACUAAAAAUGAUGACAUCCACUGGACUGGUAGCAAAUAAUUCUACUCCAUUUUUUUCCAUUUCUGCAUGUAUUUCUAUACUCACUUCACUCUCUGCCAAGGACGUGCAUCUAAAAAAAAUUCAAUGGUUAAUGUUUCGAUGGACAGCAGUGCAGUUUUUACUGUAAGAGUUAAUGUGUCUGUCGAUGAAACUGUGAAUGCCCAACCUGAAUCUUUUACUGUGAGCACUCCUGCUGCCUCGUUGUGAGUGGUUCCAUUUUCAUUGCCAUCUUCCUUGCAUGAAUCGAGGUCAAUCAGAGGUGAAGGACAGAAAAACAGACUUCUGUUUGGGCAAUUCAGUCUGCAGAUGAAGUGGCUGAGACCUUUCAGGGCCCUUACGCUCUCUGAAAAGCCAGCAUCCCCUCUGCUCAGUGUUCCCAGUGGCCUUCCAUGCUGUAUUUGCUGCCUGCAUGUAUUUAAAUUAUGUCUGUUAAAUCAGAGGUGUUCUUUGUUACAAGAAAAACUGCUUUGUCACCCAUUGCAUUCAGCUGCUUCAUUUGUGAAGCUGACAGCAGCAGAGCAGGGCGCUAAAGGAUUGACACUGAGACUCCAAAACAGUGGUUAGAGCAGUGACAGAUAGCAGGGCUGCUGAAGCAUUUCGAUUACAGCUAUUAAGGGCAGGAAACAGUCUUUCAUUCUGUGUUUGUAUGGCACUUCACACACUGUGUUCCUGCUUCGGAGCUGGAUCCUAAGUAUUAAAUAGUAAUAAGCCAUGAUGCCACUUAACAAAUAGAAACUGCUGGUUUACAGAAGUUCUUAGUGCUUCUUCCCUCCAUGGAAACAGAAUACUUUUUUAAUUUGUUAAAUCUCCUUUAUAUUGCAGGAAAGUGUGAACUAUCCCCUUUUCUCAUUCUAGAGGCUGAGAUGGAAGAGUCUAAAAAUGACACCGUAGAUUUUUAAAGUUUUCAUACCAAGAAUUUGCCUGUCUGAGCAAGCAGCAGAACCCAAUUAUCUUUGUAUUGAUAAUAUACUGCGCUUCAUGUUGAAAUGUGGACUUCGUAUCUGGCAACACAUGAAUUAAGAAGUAUAUCAGAAAAAAAAUCCCACUGAAGUGCCUGCUUGUUGCUUGGGUUCCCAUUUAAUAAUCAAGGUAUUCUUAGUGCAACCAUUUUACAGUGUGUGCUGGAGACCUUCAGGAAAUCAGUGUGAAGAAGAAAGGUGCAAAGGAGAAAACAGGAGGAAAGGGAAUAUGAACUUACUGUGUCCUUCUAGGCAGAGCUAUACACAGAUUCCCAGUCAUUCCAUUUUUUAGGAAUGGGUCAAAAUACAAUUGUCAUUUACUGUAUUUAAUCCUUGCUGUUAGAGCAGGAUUUGCUCACCUUUUUGGAUAAUUGUUGUUCCAUUGUAGCAAAAUUUGCUGUGUUUUGCAACCAGUGAAGCCCCUGUGACUAUCUUCCCCUACCCCUCCACCCCCUACUGAGUAUCUCAUGGUAAUAACUCUGUACAGCCAGGUUUCUGUUGCACUGUGUAUCUCUGGAAGAGCAUUGUUUCGGUUUUUGUUUUUUGAUUUUAUAACGUGUAGCAAUAGAGGAUCCCCGGGCUUUGGUGGUUUAUUCAGUGCUUACUUGCUGUUAGAAACACACACUUUAUUUUUAGUUCGGCUUCCUUGGAAUCAUAGCUUAUCUUUCCUUGCAUGAAGAGAUCUCUUGUUUUCUAAUUCUGCAAGUAUUGUCAUUGCCCUUCUUUGAACCCUCUCCAGGUUUUUAGUUGACAUUUUUCCUUAUUUAAUAAUUUAUUUCAUUACCCAAUCUGAUGGAGAUAUGAAUAAUUAGUGCAGUGUUCUGGUACUGGUCACAACAAAGCAAGUACAGAUCUUAUAUGGUUUCCUGAUUCCUGCAAGGUUUUGUGUUCAUACAUCCAAGGGCAGUCAGUGAUAACCUUGCAGUCCUGCAAGGCUACUGGCCAAGGUCUCUUCAGGAAUUUAUUACCAAUGUAUAGAAAUACAUGGAUUAUGGCAAAUAUGUAGGAAACUAUGUUCUAUGUCUUUCCUUGGCCUCCUUUAAAUUAAUAGGAUGGUCUUGUACCAAUUUCUUUGUUACCACCACUUGUGCAGUUUUUGGGUCAGCUGCUAGCAGUUGGAAAUUACUGUCUAUAUUCCUCUCUAUAGUUGUUAGAAAUGUCAAAUAAUGGAGCUCAGAACUGAAGCCUAUGUGACACUGCUGUAAACAUGCCAACCCUGUGAAGGUUGCCUCACUGCAGUCACAUUUUGUGGCUAGUUAGGUAACGAGAUCUCUGAAAAUGAACAUAUUUUCAUCAGGACAAACCUGCUGCUUCCCCACUUUUAGCAAAGAGACAUGAACUGCUUCUCAGGAGAUUUUUCAGUCAAGGGAGCUAGAGAUUUUAAGUACCACAAUUCUUUUUGGAAGCAACAGACGUGAAUUCCUGUAUCAACAGCUGUAUCUGUUACCCAGAUGGACAGUGAAGAUGAUAAAACAGUAAAGCAAUCUGCAUGGAACACUUUCUAGAGAGAGGAGGGAAGAUUAAUCAGUCAUUCACGUGCCUUCCAUUUGUGAUCUAGAUGAGAGUUUGGAUACAGAUUAAGCUACAUAAUUUACACUAAAAAUGGAACUGACGUGGAAGAGCUAUCAGCAUUGUACCUCAGAGUAUUGUGGUGAUUUGGGAUUUACAGAAGAGCAUAAAAAACAAGGGACAAUUCAAUAGAGUACUGUGCAUGCCAGGGAGAAGGCAAAAAUGCAGGAUACCAGCAGUGUGCUUACACAGGUUGUUCUUUGUUUUUUCCAUUUCACCAUGGCAUUUACGUAAAAAAGCUAAUGAAGCAAGUAUGCUAUCUGCAAGUUUUCCUUCCUAUCAGAGCGCAUAAGCAUUGGUUCCCUCUCAGUGAAGGUUCAGGAUGCAUCUUUACAGCUGAUCCCAAUAUGUUCAAACAAGCCAGGGUGAUGCAGACGAGCAUUUUGGGGUCUGUCCAUCAAUGUUUCUACGUGAAUCAGCCUUAGAGCUCUCCCAAUAACCAGGAGUUAGCAGCUGGCCAGUUUACAGAUGUCUUCUUGGGUGGUGUGGCUUCUCUCAGCUCUGUAAAUGUGUUGGGCUUAAAAGCAGUUACCAGCAGCUGAGGCUCAGCCCUGGGGUUUUUUUAUCAUAAUUUCCAGCUGUGGUACAAAGUACUCUGUAGGUCAAUUCCAGUUUCUAGUCUGAGAGGACAAAUUACUCAGUACGUUCAAUGGCCUGUGCUGCACCAUCAGUUUAGAUUUCAAUAUGGGUUUCACCAGAAACCAUCAUGAUAAUGGCCCUUCCCUUGGUGAAAUUAUAUUGUUGAUGCAUUUUUCAAUGAAUAUCCUCUGCAUCUUUCACCUUGGAGUUUCUGUGUUUCUGUCCCCUUCAAUGCAUUAUGCAGAAUGCUCUUCAUGGAUAGAAACAAAGUGGGGCAGAUGAGAACAGGAAAAAGAAAGCUUUGGGUGUAUCUGAUAUCACCCAACCUUAGAUCUGGCAUCUCAUCCAAACUGAGCUUCUAAGCAUCAUCCAUACCAAAGGAAGAUCAAUCUCCAGAACAUAAUUCAUCCCUUCUUAAAAUAGCAUAGGAAAGCAGAUAGGCUGGACUCAAGUUUAUUUCUUCUAGUUCACAGCAGAAGGUGCUCUUCUGAAUAGCUUGAAACAGAUAUCUUCUGAUAACCAGAAUUAGAUAUGGUUUUUUUCCCUCUAUUUACCUAGAAAAAAUUGCAGAAUUUUGCAGUAAAAUGUUUUCUUAUUUUAUGCAUUGACUUCCCAUUAAAAAAAACAAAACUGUUUUAGCACAAUGUGCUUCAUAUCCCCCAUUGCAAUGACUGUCUCUGCAAAUUUUCCUUGUUGAUCUCAUAGCUCUCCAGAACUUCCUUCCCUCCUAAGGUAUUUUCUUCCUGAACCACAAAUCUGAUCUAUUUGUCUCUUUUAAGUUCUUCCAAGACAUAGAAAAGUCUUAAGUCCGCUCACAUAAAUCCGUGCAAGUGCCUAAAGUGUAUUGAGGUCUUCUGUUUGUUGAAAGUAGCCAGAGUGAAGAAGCCACGGAGUGCUAACUUGCAGCCUGUCCCUCUACUUCAGAGUAACCUUGCACGAGGGCAGCUGCUGUGUUACAGCUGCCGUGUGAUCUGCCUUGCAAAUGUGGACAAAUGGUGUAUAACUGGAUUUCCUUCAUAAUCUGCCAUAACAAGGAAGACACACUUAAAUUCCGCAGAUAGCAUCACAUAUCUCUGAAAUCUGUAAAAACAUCACUUCUCUAACCAAUAAAGCAAGGGCGUUUUUUCCUAUCAGGAUGCCUUGUAAUAGAUUAGAUAGCAGAAGAUGUACUACUGGCGUGUGUUUUUGGCAGCCUGCUUUGCUUAUAUGCAUGGAAAAACACUUAAUCUAAAUAUCGUGGCUCUCUUCGUGGUUGUUUUCAUCUGAAGUUAAAGCUAUGCAAUUAAAAAUAAUAAUAAUAAUAGUAAAGCUAAUGGAAUCAAUUAAGUUUUUUAGGUGGAAAAUUCUGCCAGUGGAAGGUUGGAGCUGAUGCAUCGAUACCACAUUCAGAAGAUGCCAUCCCUCGGAAAUGCUCAGAGACCUCUGCAACGUCAACACGGGCUGAUGAUGUUCUCUCAAUGCUUUGCACAGUGUCUCGUCGAUUCCUUGGCUUUGUCAGCUGGUGCUGGAUUGUAUGCAGUGGCACUGAUGACUUUAUAAAAACAAAUGACAGAAUUGUUUACACGGCCUUGCUAAAGGAAAUAAUCACAUUUAGUAGUGCUGGUUUCCCAUACAGGGCUUUAAAAAGGGGCUCUCGUGCUAUAUGCUGUGAUAAGCUUUUUAUAAAUGCGUUCAUGUGGUGCUCAGUACAGCCUGCUGUGCCGAUGCUAUAAAACCAAAGGGGAGCUUCAUAAGCUUUAAGUGCAAUCAUAUAUUACUGUGCAGCAGCAUUCCCUCUUAUUAAUAAAGUUUGUAAGAAAUACCCAGGCAAAGAUUAAAAAUACAUGUAUGACACUAUCCACGGUAAUAAAAGCUGAUGUUGUCUGGA